Molecule: ribosomal RNA, 385 nt
Filed under: Ensifer meliloti
Lineage: Bacteria; Pseudomonadati; Pseudomonadota; Alphaproteobacteria; Hyphomicrobiales; Rhizobiaceae
Description: Sinorhizobium meliloti bacterial SSU rRNA
Rfam family: Bacterial small subunit ribosomal RNA
Source: RNAcentral
CUGGCUCAGAACGAACGCUGGCGGCAGGCUUAACACAUGCAAGUCGAGCGCCCCGCAAGGGGAGCGGCAGACGGGUGAGUAACGCGUGGGAAUCUACCCUUUUCUACGGAAUAACGCAGGGAAACUUGUGCUAAUACCGUAUGAGCCCUUCGGGGGAAAGAUUUAUCGGGAAAGGAUGAGCCCGCGUUGGAUUAGCUAGUUGGUGGGGUAAAGGCCUACCAAGGCGACGAUCCAUAGCUGGUCUGAGAGGAUGAUCAGCCACAUUGGGACUGAGACACGGCCCAAACUCCUACGGGAGGCAGCAGUGGGGAAUAUUGGACAAUGGGCKCAAGCCUGAUCCAGCCAUGCCGCGUGAGUGAUGAAGGCCCUAGGGUUGUAAAGCUCU